AUUUCUUCUUCACAAAAGAGGAGUCCUCAAAAUAUCGAAUCUUGGUCGUUGUUUGUUGCCGGGGUCGCAGGCGGAGCGUGGCCGGAGGAGACCCGACGCUUUUUCACCUCGCGGUCGAUGGCAGAGGAGGAGGAUCCAACGACGGGCUCGCUUUCGGUGCUGGAGCAGUGCCGGGCGAAGACGGUCACCGGGGUGUUCGAGGUCGGGGAGUCGCAGACGUCCGCCGCGAGGUUGCCCAUUGUAUUGCUGCAUUCCCACAGCUUCUCCUAUUUUGUAUCAGAAGAGGGAAAACAAUUUGAAGCUUUUAAGAAGAAAUUGAUGCCGAAAAGAGUGGAUCGGUGAAAUGGGGGAAGGAUCUAGCAGCCGGCUAUUACUUUAUUUACAAAUUCGCAGGAGAAGAUGGCGGCGCGGAAAGCGGGGAACUGGACGGGGAAGAUCUCGUAGGCCGCGGAGAGGAGGGCCGCGGCCGCCACCACCGAAGGGUUGGAUAAAUUCAUUACCGCUUUGGGUUUUGAGGAUGAUCUGCGUCGCGUGGGAUUUGAGGGCUCGAAUCAAAGGUUCUUGAGUAGGCGUGAAGAAGGAAACAAAGAAUCGAAGGAAGGAGAACGGAGUGAUCGGUCGCAUUCUCCAAUCCAAGGUCCCGAGUACUAGCAGCUCCAUUCGCCGAACUGUUUGGCCAUCGAAGAUGAUGCCUUUCACCCCCUGUGAUAUCGAACUGUGAGAUGGAUUGAUUCAACAACGAAAUCUUGUCAGGGGAAAAGAGACGGAUUUACAGUACUUGGAUAUCCGCGAGCAUCAAUCUGCUCUUCUUCAUCUUCGAGGCGAGGGAGAGACACGAGAUGGAGAAUAGACGGACGAUCCAUGGCUUCUCCUGCUGCAACCGAAGUGAUUAACAACCUACAUUGUGAUCAAACCCCCCACAUUGCAACUCAUUCCUACCGAGAUUUCGCGCUUGCAAAGGAACCGAUCGAUGUAGUUGAUCGCAAGGUAAGCGACAGAAGGGUCGAGAUUGCAGUCGAACUGUGCCUGCCCACCGAAAGACACAUCGCCCAAAUGAAAAACCAAACGAACCCAACAAAAAAAAUAUCAUCUUUUUCUUCACUUUACCUGCAGGACCAGAGCGACGGCAUCCCUCCGGGCAGCAAUGUCGAUAGUGCCGACGGAGGUGAUCAUGUGGUCGGAUUCCGCGGCGAAGAGCGCUGCAAAGGAGCCGGAGUGCUGCUGCUCGUCAUUGCAGCCCGUGAGUGUGUUCUCCAGAUCGUACUCCAUUCUCUUCCCCAGCAACAGAUUGGUAAAGGGGUGGUUUUUAGGAGUAGAAGCAUCCAUACGAAGCCCGGUAAAGGACAAUGAAGAAGAAAGGAGUGGAAUGGGGGUGGUUUAUAGCUAGGCGAACAGACUGUAAAGAGAGGGAGGCCAAUUAAACAGGGGAGGAGGAGAGAGACGAUCGAUCCUACGUCGCUCUCCUCCCUCUACAUCUUUCUUUAGCAGAUAGAUGACUGCUUCCUUCCUUCCUUUUGCUUGUUAACAGUACCAUCUAAUGGUUAAUAUAAUGGUGGUUAAAUCGAGGAAGUGAAGUGAUGUGAGGAGGAAGGAAACUUGAAAGGGAAGGGAGGAGGCAAUGAGAGGUGUCGGGAAAAGUGAGCAGGUGUCGCUGUAGUAUGGGCCGGGACGGGGACGGGGACGGAGACUGGGACAGAUAGCAGCGGCGGAUACUCUGGUAAAAAUAGCAGUCACAGUUAAGCAAACACUGGAACACAACCAAAGUCCAAUAAGGAGCAGCACCACUGUUUGCAUCAAUUGCAUCGACUGAAUGAUGAUGCCUGGCCUGGCCUGCUGCCGCUUCUUCCAUUGUCAAAUGUCAUGCACAUCAUCGUCUCUCACGAGGAUUUUGUGUGACUAAGCUUCCUUUCUUCUUUCAAGUAAUCUCCCCAGUCAAAUCUUAUACUUCUCACUGGAUGAUUCGAUUUGGCGUUUCUGUAAAUUUUAGCUGUUUUUUUUCUAAUUUAUUCUUGGUCAAAUGACUAGGAUUGCAUUAAUCUAGGAUUUGGUGUUGCCUCAAUAAAUGAUGGCAAAAGGUGAA
Molecule: long non-coding RNA, 2080 nt
Organism: Zingiber officinale
Lineage: Eukaryota; Viridiplantae; Streptophyta; Magnoliopsida; Zingiberales; Zingiberaceae
Exons: 2
Source: RefSeq, a predicted model, not a curated record